AACGCGUUGGCCCAACUGAUUGAACGUGCUUGCACGGACUUGACGUUGGUUUACCAACGAGUGGCGGACGGGUGAGUAACACGUAGGUAACCUGCCCCAAAGCGGGGGAUAACAUUUGGAAACAGAUGCUAAUACCGCAUAACAAUUUGAAUCGCAUGAUUCAAAUUUAAAAGAUGGCUUCGGCUAUCACUUUGGGAUGGACCUGCGGCGCAUUAGCUUGUUGGUAGGGUAACGGCCUACCAAGGCUGUGAUGCGUAGCCGAGUUGAGAGACUGAUCGGCCACAAUGGAACUGAGACACGGUCCAUACUCCUACGGGAGGCAGCAGUAGGGAAUCUUCCACAAUGGGCGCAAGCCUGAUGGAGCAACACCGCGUGAGUGAAGAAGGGUUUCGGCUCGUAAAGCCCUGUUGUUAGAGAAGAACAUGCGUGAGAGCAACUGUUCACGCAGUGACGGUAUCUAACCAGAAAGUCACGGCUAACUACGUGCCAGCAGCCGCGGUAAUACGUAGGUGGCAAGCGUUAUCCGGAUUUAUUGGGCGUAAAGCGAGCGCAGGCGGUUUGAUAAGUCUGAUGUGAAAGCCUUUGGCUUAACCAAAGAAGUGCAUCGGAAACUGUCAGACUUGAGUGCAGAAGAGGACAGUGGAACUCCAUGUGUAGCGGUGGAAUGCGUAGAUAUAUGGAAGAACACCAGUGGCGAAGGCGGCUGUCUGGUCUGCAACUGACGCUGAGGCUCGA
RNAcentral lists this ribosomal RNA (735 nucleotides) under uncultured Bacilli bacterium. Its description in RNAcentral is "bacterial SSU rRNA". It matches the Rfam family "Bacterial small subunit ribosomal RNA", at positions 52 to 756 of the family's 1533-position model. The record is from RNAcentral. Lineage: Bacteria; Bacillati; Bacillota; Bacilli.